UUUGUUGUAAAUUUAGGUUUGAGUAGUAAUAGAGUUCUUGAAACUAAAAGAGUUUGGCGGUACUUAAGUCUGUUUAGAGGAAUCUGUAUAUAAAUCGAUAGCCCACGAAUAAUCUUACUUAGAAAAGGUAAUAUGUAUAUCGUUGUCAUCAGAAUAAUUUUUAGAAUAUUUUCUUAACGUUGGAGAUUUAUAUGUCAAAUCAAGGUGCAGUUUAUGUCUAAGGUUAUAUGGAUUACAAUACAGGGGUGUAAACGGAAUAUUUUCUGUAAAUGGGGUAUGAAGGUGGAUUUAAUUGUAAUUUUUUAUUAAAAUGGAGAAUUGAAUGGGUACUAAAGUAUGC
Molecule: ribosomal RNA, 340 nt
Filed under: Paralamyctes validus
Lineage: Eukaryota; Metazoa; Arthropoda; Chilopoda; Lithobiomorpha; Henicopidae
Description: partial 12S ribosomal RNA
Source: RNAcentral